Molecule: long non-coding RNA, 1110 nt
Organism: Daphnia pulex (common water flea)
Lineage: Eukaryota; Metazoa; Arthropoda; Branchiopoda; Diplostraca; Daphniidae
Exons: 2
Source: RefSeq, a predicted model, not a curated record
UUCUUCUUCUUCUCCCCACCUUUUUUUAUUUCCUACUUCAUUCUACCUGACUCGCCUCCAGGUACGAAACAUACCGAAAAAGAACCAAGAUGGCGUUGAUUUCGACAAGAGGAAAGGGGGCCAGCAAGCAAGCAAGCAAGCACUAUAUCGCCUUGAUGGAUCUUUGCCCGCGUGUAGUGGCCUCGCACGGACAGACAUGGUGCGUAAUAAUUAAACGACCGUCGACAGACCAGACUUAAUCGCAGUUCCAACAAUUCAUGAGCUUGUAAUGGAUCGAUCCCCUCGCUCAUGAUGAAUCGCUAUCCUUUUAGUCCACCCACACAGAAAUUAUUGUCUUGCAUGGAAAAACAAUAACCGCCAGGCAAACGAAUUUAACGUCUUUUCAAAAACUACAAAGACUAAAACCCGGAACUGCUGGACACGAUCGAAAUUCAACCUUGUUUUUACAUACCCACUGACUCAAUCAUUUUUAAUUGCAUUUCAUUUGGAAGGAAAUAAAAAUAUAAAACUCACCACGUGUUGUGGAACCUUUGUCGAGGGAAAUGUAAAGAAGACACCGCCGUUGUUGUUGUUGUUUUUUUCUUCUUGUGUGACACACUCAACACAUAACAACAGCACACUACACACACUCACACACAAACACACACGAUGACGACUUGGCAACGCCGGCCGUCUAUCUCUAACCGUUUCGUAUGUAUACAACAUACGCGACACUUUUUGGUGGGGUGGUGUGAUGAUUGUAGGGGGAGGUAGCAGUUCAAACAGUUGAAAUUGAAAAUUACCCGCCAAUUUUCUUCUUAUUCUUCACCUCAUUUCUCCUGUUUUAUUUUUGAAAAUAUUUUUCUUUUGGUGUUGAAAACAACAACCAAGGUUCACACGAAACUUUUUGGGUUUUCAGUGUUUUCUCGAGGUCACACACACUUUAUAAGGAGGGAUAAUCACUCUUGAUUUAACAUGAUCUCGUGUGUGUGUUCAAACUUGUGUCUUGUGGUUUUCGCACUUUUGAUUUUCAACGAAAGGCAGUGUGAGAUGAGUCAGAAAGAAAGAUGUCCGUGACGUAUCACCAGACUCGACGAAACGUGUGUGUCGAUUGUGAAAGGAAAUAAUUUU